GUGAAUCAUCAAAUUUUUGAACGCAAAUUGCACUCUCUGGUAUUCUGGCGAGUAUGCCUGUUUGAGGGUCAGUUUAAAUAAAAAUCGGUGCGGUCGUUGCCUUUCGUGGUGACGCACCGGACUUGCGUCGACUUGCCUUCGGUUAAGUGACCUAAAAUCUUGCAUGAUUUUUUCGAACGUAUUUAAAUGAUUUUACGUACGUUUGC
Molecule: unclassified non-coding RNA, 206 nt
Filed under: Glomus sp.
Lineage: Eukaryota; Fungi; Glomeromycota; Glomeromycetes; Glomerales; Glomeraceae
Description: partial contains 5.8S ribosomal RNA and internal transcribed spacer 2
Rfam family: 5.8S ribosomal RNA (bases 1-71)
Source: RNAcentral